AGUUUUAUUUAAAGGUUAUAAAUUAGAAUAAAUAAAUAAAUGAGGAAACACUAUAUAUACAGUUUAGUUUGAUAAGUUAGUUAAGUGAUUAGUAACUAAAACUAAUAAUAAAUGUGAAAUGCAAAACUAAUAAUAAAUGUGAAAUGCAUUUCUCGAAUUAGAAUUCUUAUUUUCGAAUUUUCUUUUAUUUUAGAGGUUUAUAAAAUUUUGAAAUGCGAGGACAAAAUCUGGAAGCAUGCAGUAAUAAAGACAGUCCUUUUAAAGGAUAAUAAAGAACUGUGAAUAAUAUUAGAUAAUUCGCAUCAUUGGCCUGCAUCUUUGCAUUCAUGCAUUCACGACUAAAUAUUAUCAUGCGUUUGUUAAAUUGCUAUAUUGUGCUGCACUAUUGUUGCGAUUAAAAUUUUGCUUGAUCACGUGUGUUGUGAUAUUGUUGUGCCUUAUUUGUGUGGAAUUGAGAUGAAGUGGGUCACCAUGGAUUUAUGAGGGCAGUCUACGAGACCGUUGGCCAUAUGGGAGAUCAGCGCCCCGUGUGCACAUGAUGAUAUGAUAUGGAUAAUAUGGAUAAACCACAGGGUGACCUCCUAUUGGUAUGAAAAAGAAAAGAGAGAAUGAAAAAAACAAUGAGAGGGCUGGUCAAGUGAGAAUUAGACCGGUCGGUCAUGUAUGGGGGAUUGGCUCCUUGGUGCACAUGUUAUGAGAGGAUAGACCAUGUCGGAGGAUGGCUCAUUGGGAGUUUCAGUGACACCACUGACUAAUUUUCACGUGAUGUGAUUGUAUAAAGGUAAUAGGAAGAAAGGAGAAUCCUAUGAACCCGACUGAGUCGUAAGAUCAAAACUAGGAACUUGUUAAUAGUUAUGCUAACCAUGUAAAUGUAAAGGACCGUAGAUUAUGGAGUUCCGCAAUUGUAUUUCAAAUAGGUUGUAAAUGAAUAACUAGAGUACAUACUUUAAUUAUAUAAAGUGUACUUUUGAUAUGUUUAUGGAAUAAAGUUAUUGGGCUCGAAGCCACAAUUAUAUUUA
Molecule: long non-coding RNA, 1019 nt
Organism: Jatropha curcas
Lineage: Eukaryota; Viridiplantae; Streptophyta; Magnoliopsida; Malpighiales; Euphorbiaceae
Source: RefSeq, a predicted model, not a curated record